This 365-nucleotide unclassified non-coding RNA is filed under the name fungal sp. Its description in RNAcentral is "partial internal transcribed spacer region". The stretch from base 1 to 46 matches the Rfam family "Eukaryotic small subunit ribosomal RNA", at positions 1786 to 1831 of the family's 1831-position model. The record is from RNAcentral. Lineage: Eukaryota; Fungi.
AAGUCGUAACAAGGUUUCCGUAGGUGAACCUGCGGAAGGAUCAUUUCCAAAAAAAAACAAUUAAAAUACAACGUUUCGUCUUUUUUGUCUUUGCCUGUAACAAGGUGAUCAUGAAAAAGCGAGAUUAUGUGAACUGUUGAUAUUCUUUUUAUAAUGUACUCUUGAAGGGGUGACUUGGAGAGAGUACAUUUUUAAACAUAACCAAUUGAAACUCCAACAAGAUGUGUUUAAUAGCAAUCUCUGGAUUGAUAUUUUAUAUGUCGAAGUUGAACACUUUUUAUUUUUACAAACUUGUUUUGGUAUGCAAAUAUUAAAACAAUCAAAAAAUAUUAUGACAACUUUUAACGGUGGAUCUCUUGGCUCGU